GAUGAACGCUGGCGGCGUGCCUAAUACAUGCAAGUCGAGCGAACAGAUAAGGAGCUUGCUCCUUUGACGUUAGCGGCGGACGGGUGAGUAACACGUGGGUAACCUACCUAUAAGACUGGAAUAACUCCGGGAAACCGGGGCUAAUGCCGGAUAACAUUUAGAACCGCAUGGUUCUAAAGUGAAAGAUGGUUUUGCUAUCACUUAUAGAUGGACCCGCGCCGUAUUAGCUAGCUGGUAAGGUAACGGCUUACCAAGGCAACGAUACGUAGCCGACCUGAGAGGGUGAUCGGCCACACUGGAACUGAGACACGGUCCAGACUCCUACGGGAGGCAGCAGUAGGGAAUCUUCCGCAAAGGGCGAAAGCCUGACGGAGCAACGCCGCGUGAGUGAUGAAGGUCUUCGGAUCGUAAAACUCUGCUAUUAGGGAAGAACAAAUGUGUAAGUAACUGUGCACGUCUUGACGGUACCUAAUCAGAAAGCCACGGCUAACUACGUG
RNAcentral lists this ribosomal RNA (497 nucleotides) under uncultured bacterium. Its description in RNAcentral is "partial 16S ribosomal RNA". It matches the Rfam family "Bacterial small subunit ribosomal RNA", at positions 28 to 507 of the family's 1533-position model. The record is from RNAcentral.